GGGGGUGUUUCGGCUUCGACGGGGAUCACGAAAUCACUUGGUGCAUGCCGAGGGGGUAGCUUUCCUCGUAAAUCCAGCUGCUAACUUUUAGUUGCCAACAACGACAACUACGCUCUGGCCGCUUAAGGUCUAAGCCCCGAAACCGCUGGGUUCCUGUGCCUGCGGAGGUAGGGUCAUUAACACAGGACCGCCACGGUAGCUGCCUGUCAGCCGUGGUCAAAUUAAACAGGCUGGUUCUGUGGUGUGCUCUGCCCUUCGUGUUACCACAGAAUGAGAUCAA
This 280-nucleotide transfer-messenger RNA is filed under the name Mizugakiibacter sp. Its description in RNAcentral is "partial transfer-messenger RNA". It matches the Rfam family "transfer-messenger RNA", at positions 1 to 298 of the family's 374-position model. Rfam says of the family: Bacterial tmRNA, also known as 10Sa RNA or SsrA, is named for its dual tRNA and mRNA-like properties. Its role is to liberate the mRNA from a stalled ribosome. The record is from RNAcentral. Lineage: Bacteria; Pseudomonadati; Pseudomonadota; Gammaproteobacteria; Lysobacterales; Rhodanobacteraceae.